This 250-nucleotide ribosomal RNA is filed under the name uncultured bacterium. RNAcentral's name for it is "partial 16S ribosomal RNA". It matches the Rfam family "Bacterial small subunit ribosomal RNA", at positions 524 to 773 of the family's 1533-position model. The record is from RNAcentral.
UACGAAUGGGGCAAGCGUUGUUCGGAAUCACUGGGCUUAAAGCGUGCGUAGGCGGACUCUCAAGUCAGAAGUGAAAGCCCUGGGCUUAACCCGGGAAUUGCUUUUGAAACUAGGAGUCUAGAGACCUGGAGAGGUUGGGGGAAUUCCGAGUGUAGAGGUGAAAUUCGCAGAUAUUCGGAGGAACACCAGUGGCGUAGGCGCCCAACUGGACAGGUACUGACGCUGAGGUACGAAAGCGUGGGGAGCAAAC